Molecule: ribosomal RNA, 292 nt
Filed under: uncultured bacterium
Lineage: Bacteria
Description: partial 16S ribosomal RNA
Source: RNAcentral
GGACUACCGGGGUUUCUAAUCCUGUUUGCUCCCCACGCUUUCGUGCCUCAGUGUCAGUCUGGGUCCAGGAGGCCGCCUUCGCCACUGGUGUUCCUUCCGAUCUCUACGCAUUUCACCGCUACACCGGAAAUUCCACCUCCCUCUACCCGACUCUAGUAUGACAGUAUUGAAUGCAAUUCCCAGGUUAAGCCCGGGGCUUUCACAUCCAACUUAACAUACCACCUACGCACCCUUUACGCCCAGUAAUUCCGAUUAACGCUUGCACCCUCUGUAUUACCGCGGCUGCUGGCAC